Molecule: long non-coding RNA, 1856 nt
Filed under: Sorghum bicolor (sorghum)
Lineage: Eukaryota; Viridiplantae; Streptophyta; Magnoliopsida; Poales; Poaceae
Description: long non-coding RNA (SBIC_LNC015529)
Source: RNAcentral
GCGAGAGUAUCCACUGAGCUUUCAAUAGCACUGUGACACAUAUACGUCAAUACGUGUUUCUCUGGAACAUGAGAUACGGGGGAGUUUUCCAACGAAGAAACUACGCAUGGGUCGAGAUGGGAGUAGACCGUAAGAAGACAUUCGACUAGUGAAGAAGAUUUUUCUUGUUUUUUUCUCCGGUUCAAUCUAUUGCCAAAAAUUCCUGCUGUCACCUUCAAUUUGAAUAAACGACACCCCUUUUUACAUUUACUUCCUCUGUCAUAAAAUACAAGGUAUCAAAAAUUCAAGAAUUAUCCUAAAAUAUAAGUUAUUUUGAAUUGCUCAAUUCUAUCUAAUAUCCAUGUAUCUUUUAAACGCCAUCAACACAUGUCUUUUAAGCACAAAAAAUGACUCUUAUAAUUGGUAGUCAAAAUCAAUAACAUGUCUGCAUGUCUUUUUAAACUAUGCAUUACAAGGAAAUUAAGCAAGUUGAUAACAAAGUCCUUCUUUGAUUAUAAAAUUGUUUCGAUACCUUAUAUUUUAGUUCCUCUGUCCUGUGUAAUAUAGUGUAUUUUAAAAAAUUUAAGACAACUUAAGGUAAUCCUCAAAUGACACAUAUAUCCACGAGAUUAAAACCAAUUAAGAUGUUUUUUUUCCUUAAAGUAUGGUUUCCUUUUUAACAUCUGGGGAUACAAAUUAAGUGGGUCUUGGCAUUUGGUUCCAGCAAAAAGUACAAAAGUGAUGUGGUUUCUCCAACUUCCGUCCUCUUCUCUUUUUUAUUUUCUAAAGGGCACGGCGAAAACAUUUCAAAAGGGCAUCCACUGAACUUCCAAUGCCACUAUCACACAUUACACUCUGAUGAAACAUUAGAAAUAGGAGAAUUUUCCAAUGAAGAAACCUCUCAUGGGUCGAGAUGGAUGUAGAAAGAAGACAUUUUGUAGCAAAGGAGAUUUUCUUGUUUUUUUUUUCUCUAUUGACGAUUUUCUUUGUACUCAAUUUAUCAGGCUAAGUCUACUGCUGAAAUUCCUGCUGUCACCUUCAAAUAAGCACUGCUCUUCACAGUCGUGCAUACUUCUUCGUAUACUAGUUGAUACAAUUAUUACAUCUUAAUGUUUCCUAAAUCAAAAUUUUCUAAUAUAUAUAUAUAUAUAUAUAAAUAUAUAUAUAUAUAGCCCACCAUUUAUAUUGUAAAUUUGUAUGCUUUUAAUAUUGGUUCGGUUGAUCCAAUAAUACUCUCUUUUCUUUUACAUGUCACAUUAGAUUCUAACUCAAAUACUAUUAUCUUUGACCAAAUAUUUUUUAAAAAAGAAAUAUAGUUUCACAACAUAUGAAUUACAUAUUAUGAAAGUAUUUCUCAUAGUGAAUUUACAUAAUCUUAUGACAUGAAUCUAUAUAAUUGUUUUAAAACUAAUGAUCAAAGUUAAAUAUGUUUGACUUAGCAUAAAGCUAAUCCGGCAUCUAAUAAAAAACAGAGGGAGUACAAGAUGGGAAACAUCGUUGACGUUUGUGUGCGUUCCAAUAAGCAACCAUUAACCUAGAACCACAACAGGCAAGCUUCGCUUUUCCUCGGCUAUGAGAACACAAACAUAUACAACAUCUCAUUUAAUUACUUAGACCAGUAGCAUAAUCCAAGCAACGGUGUUUGUUGUUAGCAGGAAUCCUCCGUAGGAAUACGUGUACAAACAAGAAAUCUAUAGUGUCCGACCUCCAAUAACAUAAUCUCCCAGUGGUACAAGAACUUUGCAUUGUCAUUUGCGACGGCGGCGGCGUGUAGCCACAAUCACGACGUUAAUGGAUCCAAUCAAAAUGCUCAUGUCACAAAAACAAAUAUUCGUGAAAAGCAUAGCUUUCAAACUAAUAUAUUAAGGGGGUGUUUG